This 362-nucleotide unclassified non-coding RNA is filed under the name uncultured fungus. RNAcentral describes it as "sequence contains ITS1". The stretch from base 1 to 107 matches the Rfam family "5.8S ribosomal RNA", at positions 50 to 154 of the family's 154-position model. The record is from RNAcentral. Lineage: Eukaryota; Fungi.
GAAAUGCGAUACCUGGUGUGAAUUGCAGAAUCCCGCGAACCAUCGAGUCUUUGAACGCAAGUUGCGCCCGAGGCCAUUCGGCUGAGGGCACGCCUGCCUGGGCGUCACGCAAAACACGCUCCCACCCCCUCAUCGGGUAGCGGGACGCGGCAUGUGGCCCCCCGUAGCGCAAGCUGCGGUGGGCCGAAGAUAUGGCUGCCGGUGUAUCGUGCCGGACACAGCGCGUGGUGAGCGACCUCGCUUUACUUACCGCAGUGCAUCCGGGGCGUAGCCGACGUGAUGGCCUCUAAGGACCCUUUUAACGGUGCGCACGACGCUCCGACCGCGACCCCAGGUCAGGCGGGACUACCCGCUGAAUUUAA